Molecule: long non-coding RNA, 4167 nt
Filed under: Sus scrofa (pig)
Lineage: Eukaryota; Metazoa; Chordata; Mammalia; Artiodactyla; Suidae
Description: lncRNA (ENSSSCG00065068085.1)
Source: RNAcentral
CUUCCAUAUGCCGUGGGUGCGGCCCUACAACAAAAAUGAAAACAAAUAACAAGCGUUUGCAAGGAUGUGGAGGAAAAGGAACCCUCUGACACUGCUGGUGGGAAUGUAAAUUGGUGCAGCCACUGUGGAAAACAGGACGGAGGUUCCUCAAAAAACUAAACAGAGAAAAAACUACCAUACGAUCCCGCCAUCCACUCCAGGGCAGGCAUCUGAAAAAAAUAAGACAUUCAUUCAAGAAGAUACAUGAACCCCAAUGUUCACAGCAGCACCGUUUGCAAUAGGCAAGACGUGGAAGCAGCCUAAAUGUCCAUCAGCAGAUGACUUGGUAAAGAAGAGGCGGCACAGACACACGACGGAAUACUCCUGGGCCAUAGAAAAGCAUGACAUUUCGCCAUGUACAACAACAUGGAUGGAUUUGGAGGCAGCAGGCCGUAAGUCCGAGAAAGACAAACACUGUGUGAUGUCCCUUACAUGUGACAUCUGAAACAUACAACAAAGUAGUGAAUAAAACCGAGGAGGCGCAGACUCCCAGAGGUCGAGAAUGACCCAGCGGUGACGGUGGGGAGAAGCAGGCGAGGGCGGGGAACAGGCAGGUGAUGGGGCCGUGGGAAAUCGGAGUGGGAAACUCUGAAACUGCAAAGCACUAUAGAGUGCAAAAAAUCAUUCAUUCAAUAAAUUUAAAUGUUGCCGCCUUAAUUACAAACGAAAGCAAGAGAUAAUAACCUGCACUAUUUCUUAAACUUACGGAGAUAAAAGAGGAAGCAGAAGGAAGGAAGGCUCGAAAAUCUUAGCGUGCUAGAAACAAAAUACCAAUGCACAAUAUGGUUGUUGAAAAAAUGAGAGAAUCCCACUCGCUGACCUAAUGUUUGUUUCACGCGAGAUGACGGAGGUACAGAAAGUGGGAAAUGACAAGGAGGAAACCUCCAAGAAAUAAAAGGAAUUACAGGCAGCAGAAAAGGGCAGAGGUUUCUGGAAAUAAGCAGAGCCCUCGCCUGCACCGGGCCAGAGCUCGGUGGGGACAGCGGUGGCCCCAGCAGGCCUUCAAAUCGUGGGCUGAGUGAGGUCUCGUCGCAUCCCUCCGCCCCCGACCAGAAGAAGGCGACGAUCUAACGGAACUGCUCCGUGUCCAGGUGUUCCCGCAAUGUUCCUUCUAUUUUGUUCUUGAGCAGGAAUAUAUACAUUUUCUAUACAGCAAACGGUCCCAAGGUUGCUGGCCCUGGCAGUUUUGCAAACACCUCGAUCUUCCCGUCACCCCUCCGACCAUGCUGAACCCUCACCUCCCAAAGUCCCUGUGUCUCAGCUGAAACGAAUCUGACUCGUAACCAUGAGAUUGUGGGUUCGAUCUCUGGCCUCGCUCAGUGGGUUAAGGAUCUGGCGUAGGCCGGUGGCUGCAACUCGGCUUCCACCUGGGAACCUCAGUAUGCCGUGUGUGUAGCCCUAAAAAAAAAAAAAAAAAUCAGCAAUUCCCCUCUGGAUAUUUAUCUGAAGAAAAAGAAAACACUAAUUCGAAUGGAUAUAUUCACCCGUGUCUUCAUUGCAGCAUUAUUUGCAGUAGCCAAGAUAGGGAAACAACCUAAGUGCCCAUCAAUAGAGGACUGGGGAAAGAAAAUGUGAUGUACACACACACACACACACACACACGGGAAUAUUACUCAGCCAUAAAAAGGAAAUCCUGCGUUCGCAACAACAUGGAUAAACCUUGAGGACACUGAGAAAUAAGCCAGACAAAGAUAAACACGGUGUGACCUCAUUUAUAUGUAGAAUCUAAAACAGCAAAUUUAUCAAAACAGAACAGAUUGGUGGUUGCCAGCAGCAGGAGUGGUGGAGGGGGAGGAAGUGAGAAAAAAUAGUCCAAAAAAUGUAAUUUUAAUGGCUUCCAGCCGUUGAUUCUUUCUUUCAUGGACAGUGCCUUUAUUUCUUCUCUUCCCGAUUACUUUUCUGGAUGACAUCGAUAGCAACUAUUCCUUCCUACCUGCUCAGUAACUGCUGAAUCUGUGGACACGGGUGCCCUUUGAUCCAGUGGACACACUUUUUAGGCUCUUUCUGAAGCAGCACCCCCAGGUUCAUGGAGAAUUGUAGACUAGAGCCCUGACGGCAGUCACCUGUCACAGUGGUCGAUUCAGCCUCAUCCACCCAUGCGAAGGGGGCGUCCAGACUGGGGAGGGGUGUUCAGGAAAGGAAAUAUGGUGAAAAUACAGGUAUUGGCACAAAAACUGUCCAAAAUGUAUUCCUAGUGGGCAAAGGUGCCUGUCCUUCUGCCCAGUGUGUGCAGGGGCUGAAUGCUGGCCCCAAAGGCAAUGUCCAACCUGAAUCCCCAGGCCUGGGAACCAAACCUUGUUUGGAAAUAGGGUCUUUGCAGAGAGCAUGAAGUGAAGGCCUGAGAAGAGGUCGCCCCAGACAAGGCAGGCCCUGACAAGUGUCCUCUGAGGAGAGGGGAGAGGAGAGACAGGGGAGGGGGCCGGCAGGUGGGGUUGGCGGCAGGUGCGGGGGGUGGACUCUUUCCUCAAAGCUGCCACACCCACCACACCCUGGCUUAGAACUUCCGGCCUCCAGAACUGAGAGAAAAAUUUCUGUUACUUUAAGCCACCAAUUUUGUGGUGCUGUCACCACAGUCCCAGCAAAGUGUAAAACCAUUUAUUUUCAAAAUAAGCAAUGACGAUUUACCAGAUUGGCGUCUGUACAAGUUUAUCUGGAGGUGGGGCUUUGGUGAUUCCUUCCAUUCUAAUUUGUGCAUUUCUGUAAAGUCUGAGUUUUCAGUAACUUUGUUUUCUGUUAAUAGGAAAAUGCCACCAAAAUAUCAAAUGUCUGUAACCGGCUGCAGGAGUGACCGAGGCACCAGACCAUGGUGCCUUGAUGGGGGUGGGGGGCGGCGGGCAGGAUGCGGCGGGGUCGCCCAGGUGGCCACGUGAGCAAGCAGGUGGGAGAGCGAGCGGGUCGCACCCGCCUGCGCAGUUCGCGGCUGGGCGGUGGCGGUGGCGCGAGAGGCGUCCGUUGCCUUGGCAGGGACCUGGGCUUCUCCCACCCAGGCUCUCGGCUGUGGCAGGUGGGCCCUGGGGCGGGGCAGCCCCGGUCCCCGGUGACCUUUGUCUUUGAUGACAGGCCUGGGAAGCCUCCUCCCCAGCAGGGCUGGCGGGGGUGGGGGGGCGCGCUCUCAGACCCGAGGCGGUGGAGCGAGCCCGGCGGGCUGGGCCUUGCGGUCCCCCUUCUCCGUGAGGCUAUUCGUCUUCCGCGGUCCUGCACAGCCUCUGAGGAGCGCGGGGGGGCGGGGGCCGCUGAGGGCGUGUUCCCCCCAGAAACAUGCUACUUCCCCAGGGCCAGGACGAAUCUGACUUCCAUCAGGAGGGGCUUCCACCCUGCUGAGGGCCACCAAAAUGCCGGCGUCCCUGGAUGCCCUUCGACGCGGCCUGAUGUUUCUUAUGGUGACUCAACUCCUCUACAUCAACCACAAGAAGGAUGUUUCCUGAGGCUACAGUUCUUAGAAAAAUCCUUUUUAGAAAUGGUAGGAGGAGAGUUCCCGUUGUGCUCGGUAGUGUAGAAUCCAACUAGUAUCCAUGAGAACUCCGGUUCAGUCCCUGGCCUCAGCGGGUUAAGGAUCUGUCGUUGCGGUGAGCUGUGGUGUAGGUCAAAGACACAGUCGGGAUCCCACGUUGCUGUGGCUGUGGUGUAGGCUGGCAGCUGCAGCUCUGAUUUGAGCCCUUGCUGCAGGUGCAGCCCUAAAAGACACACACACACACACACACACACACACACAGGAUGUGGGGGGCGAAGGGGAAGACUUCCUCUUCCCUUUGGGACAGAGCCCACGGAGACAAAGAGCCAGAAAACAGGACUAAGUCUCUGAAGUGCCUCGGGCCAGGCCGGGGUGAGUCAGCUCAGGAUGGAGGUCUGGCUGCAGAGGUCCCCCAGGUCUGUCUGGGCUGGAGCCGGCUGGCCUCCGGUGCUGGUGACUGGGCAGCCUCCCUUUCCGCUGCAGAAUGCAUGGCUUGCUCGGGGCCCAGGAGGCGCAUUCCGAUGGCCCGCAGGAUGGGCUGUGAACCUGACAGGGCGCUGGCCUCCGAGCACAUGCCUCAGGUGCGAAGGGGUGAGCAGGGCUGGUGCCCUCAGCCCGGCCACAAGAGCUUUCUUGCUCUGCGCCUGGCCCACACUGGCAGCCCUGGAGUACCCCCC